GGAGGGGGCGAGCGUUAUUCGGAUUUACUGGGCGUAAAGCGCACGUAGGCGGCUAGGUAUGUCAAAGGUGAAAGCCCUCGACUCAACCGAGGAACUGCCUUUGAAACUGCUUGGCUUGAGUCCGGGAGAGGGGAGCGGAAUUCCCAGUGUAGCGGUGAAAUGCGUAGAUACUGGGUGGAACACCGGUGGCGAAGGCGGCUCCCUGGACCGGCACUGACGCUGAGGUGCGAAAGCGUGAGUAGCAAACAGGAUUAGAUACCCUGGUAGUCCACGCCGUAAACGAUGGGCACUAGGUGCAGCGGGUGUCGACCCCCCUGCUGUGCCGAAGCUAACGCAUUAAGUGCCCCCGCCUGGGGAGUACGGUCGCAAGGCUG
This 374-nucleotide ribosomal RNA is filed under the name uncultured organism. RNAcentral describes it as "partial 16S ribosomal RNA". It matches the Rfam family "Bacterial small subunit ribosomal RNA", at positions 527 to 896 of the family's 1533-position model. The record is from RNAcentral.